UGAGUUUGAUUAUGGCUCAGGAUGAACGCUGGCGGCGUGCCUAACACAUGCAAGUCGAGCGAGAAGCUUACAUAGGAAUCUUCGGAUGAAUAAGUAAGUGGAAAGCGGCGGACGGGUGAGUAACGCGUGGGUAACCUACCCUAUACAGGGGGAUACCACAUUGAAAAGUGUGCUAAUACCGCAUAAGCACACAAUAUCGCAUGAUAUUGUGUGAAAAACA
This 220-nucleotide ribosomal RNA is filed under the name uncultured bacterium. RNAcentral's name for it is "partial 16S ribosomal RNA". It matches the Rfam family "Bacterial small subunit ribosomal RNA", at positions 1 to 208 of the family's 1533-position model. The record is from RNAcentral.